ACUUUGCUCAAAUAUAAUUCCAAUGUGUUUAUUUAAAAACAGCUUUACAUGUAGCAACCUUCUUGCCCCUUCCAUUCAGUUACAAUAAAAUAAAAUAAUAAAGACCCAAAGGCAAAAUAAGCCAGAACUGAUUCAAGCUCGUGACUGGAGCCACCUGAAGGCAGGUAAACUCUAAGCGUACAGCCAGGUCUGUUUGGCCAGCGCUCCCAUAUAUGGUCACACAUCCUUAUGGCUCUGCGUUGAACACUGAAUGCAUAAAAAAACACAAAAAAACAACACUGUACAGAGUAUCAAGCACAACGACACACACCAUAACUAUAUUCAGUGGUUCUGACAACUGCUGUGUGAUGCUUUACAUUUGGGAGUGGAAGACAGAGCAGGCGUUAAAAGUCGUGUAUAAACAGGUUAUGUAUUUCAUAAGCUGUUCUGGAUGAGGGGUUGAAUGGUGGGUCACGUUGCCUCAGAGUAGAGCCCAAAUUAAAAACUAUUAGGCAAAAUGGCAACCUACUGUCUUCAGAAAAUGUAAGCACUAAGAGCAUAUAGAUUACAUAUGUCAAGAAAAAAAAAUCAGGUUUUCAUUGUUUUCCCAGCUAAUAUAGAAAAAGUUUCCCAGGUUUUAACUUCACACCCACUGCUGGAGACAACCAGCAGCAACAUUACACUGCACUCAUCUGCCACCACCAACACCAACCCUACGCAUCGCUGACUACAGGAAACGUUUCCUGUUACAUCACAAACUGACUGACUCAAAAUCAUAAAACAGCAACACAAAAUAUGUUGAAAUGACCUAAUAAAGCAUUUGCAUGUGUACAAUCAAGUAGUCUAUCAUCCAACCACCAGCAAAGUAAACAAGUCUGGCCAUCAAAGCCAUUUAAAUACGAAGACGUUCAAGGAUUUAGGCACAACUCAACGAUAAACUAAAGGUUUGCCUUCAAAACGGACAAAAAGGUGACAUUUCUACCCUUUUUUUGCAUUUGAUUUAAAUAUUAACUUUGCAGUCUUCCUUCACAAUUCUGUCACUAUAUAAAGACUGCAGGUUGACAACAGGUCAGACUCGUAAAACCACCUGUGUAGUUUAAGUCUAACUAGGACUUCAUCUAGAGUUUGACGGAAACAUUUGCACCAGGCUCAUUUUCUUGUACGUGCUUCAGUCUUCACUUGAAGAGAAAGCGGACCCAAACUUUGCUGACUUCUUCAGAUGAGAGCUUAGGGGCACAAACAGGAUGCAGAAACAGGCUGUUGUAUAACUUCCUGCCAGUUUAUGGACUCAGAUCAGAGGCUAAUGGUCACAGAAGACUAUCAGUAAUAGCUGCCGUUUAUUCAAAUGAUAAAAUCAGCCAAACGUCUUGGAUCAUAAUUGUUAUGAGCAGAAUUGCAGCUUUAAAUUAAAACUAGAACGUUUCAAAUCUGCUCUAUGCACUGAUGUUUUGAUAAAUAGGCUAUAAUCCCAUUUUCCAGUCAGUGCAGAAGUUACAGAACAGCAACUCUGGGUCCAAACGGGCCAAUUGAAACUAGAGAUGAGUCACAAGAUUCAUGAAAUAAAACAAAAAGA
Molecule: long non-coding RNA, 1552 nt
Organism: Xiphophorus couchianus (Monterrey platyfish)
Lineage: Eukaryota; Metazoa; Chordata; Actinopteri; Cyprinodontiformes; Poeciliidae
Exons: 2
Source: RefSeq, a predicted model, not a curated record